Non-coding RNA from Guyanagaster necrorhizus, 91 nucleotides. The record is from the annotation of a RefSeq genome assembly. Lineage: Eukaryota; Fungi; Basidiomycota; Agaricomycetes; Agaricales; Physalacriaceae.
UUCCUCUUAGCUCAGUGGUAGAGCUUGUUACUCGUAUGAUCGCUCUUCGCACUCAAUGACAGGGUCAGUCGUUCAAUCCGACUAGCGGGAA